UACAGAGGUCUCAAGCGUUGUUCGGAUUCAUUGGGCGUAAAGGGUGCGCAGGCGGCGCGGUAAGUCGGGUGUGAAAUCUCGGAGCUUAACUCCGAAACUGCAUUCGAUACUGCCGUGCUUGAGGACUGGAGAGGAGACUGGAAUUUACGGUGUAGCGGUGAAAUGCGUAGAUAUCGUAAGGAAGACCAGUGGCGAAGGCGGGUUGCUGGGCUGACACUGACGCUGAGGCGCGAAAGCCAGGGGAGCGAACGGG
This 253-nucleotide ribosomal RNA is filed under the name uncultured bacterium. Its description in RNAcentral is "partial 16S ribosomal RNA". It matches the Rfam family "Bacterial small subunit ribosomal RNA", at positions 524 to 776 of the family's 1533-position model. The record is from RNAcentral.